CCUACGGGGGGCAGCAGUGAGGAAUAUUGGUCAAUGGGCGCGAGCCUGAACCAGCCAAGUAGCGUGAAGGAUGACUGCCCUACGGGUUGUAAACUUCUUUUAUAAAGGAACAAAGUGAGGCACGUGUGCCUUUUUGUAUGUACGUUAUGAAUAAGGAUCGGCUAACUCCGUGCCAGCAGCCGCGGUAAUACGGAGGAUCCGAGCGUUAAUCGGAUUUAUUGGGUUUAAAGGGAGCGUAGAUGGGUUGUUAAGUCAGUUGUGAAAGUUUGGGGCUCAACCGUAAAAUUGCAAUUGAUACUGGCAGUCUUGAGUACAGGUGAGGUAGGCGGAAUGCGUGGUGUAGCGGUGAAAUGCAUAGAUAUCACGAAGAACUCCGAUUGCGAAGGCAGCAUACUAGAGUGCCACUGACGUUGAUGCUCGAAAGUGUGGGUAUCAAACAGGAUUAGAUACCCGUGUAGUC
This 460-nucleotide ribosomal RNA is filed under the name uncultured bacterium. Its description in RNAcentral is "partial 16S ribosomal RNA". It matches the Rfam family "Bacterial small subunit ribosomal RNA", at positions 338 to 795 of the family's 1533-position model. The record is from RNAcentral.